UACGGCUACAUCACGUUGAAACAUCGCUUCCCUUAUGAUUACUGAAGUUAAGCAAUGUCAAGUCUGGUCAGUACCUAGAUGGGUGACCACUUAGGAAUACCAGGUACUGUAUG
RNAcentral lists this ribosomal RNA (113 nucleotides) under Acanthosepion pharaonis. The record is from RNAcentral. Lineage: Eukaryota; Metazoa; Mollusca; Cephalopoda; Sepiida; Sepiidae.